Marmota flaviventris (yellow-bellied marmot) is the source of this 603-nucleotide long non-coding RNA. RefSeq lists it as uncharacterized. The record is from RefSeq and is a predicted model, not a curated record. NCBI's taxonomy places the organism in Eukaryota, Metazoa, Chordata, Mammalia, Rodentia, Sciuridae.
AGGGGAACCUCGAUUUUCCAAAUUCGGGAAGGCUGGCUGUCCUUCGACUACUGAUAAGGACGCGAGCGCAUGGUAAAAGAUUUUAACAAUGCCCGGAAAGAAAUAGCUGGACCCGAAAAAAAGACUAAUAAUAGCCACCAGCUAGAGCUCUGCUCGUGUGCUCAGCGCCCUUAAGAACAAUAAUGACGACAACAACCAUAAUAGCUACCAUUUAUUGAGCGCUUACUCUGUGCCAGGCACUGGGUUAAGCGCUUUGCAAGCAACAACCCUCGGAGCUCUGAGAGGUCUGGGUAUCGUUCCUACCUGAUGGGUGACUGUGUCAGGAAACUGGAAAAUGCUGGAUUAAACAAACGACAGUGACUGUCUGGCAACGGACCCACUGGAUAAUGCUUACCAGUUUUUCAGGUCAUUUUUGUUUUUUAAAUUGAAUCUUGGGAUCAAGUGAUUCACAAUAAUGAGGGGAAGAAAGAACUCUGGGCUUGUUGUAGCUGUCAGGAUCAUCCAAUUGGAAGGGACUUUCGCUCUUCACACCCCCAAAAAGACAAAAUGUUUAAGGUAAAUUGCCAGUUUUUGUUUAUCUGGAAAAUCCAUUACUACUGGAUG